UACAGAGGGGGCAAGCGUUAUUCGGAAUUAUUGGGCGUAAAGGGCGCGUAGGCGGCUUUGCAAGUGGCGGGGGAAAUCCCUCGGCUUAACCGAGGAACUGCCUGCCAGACUGCAUUGCUUGAGUCCGGGAGAGGUGAGUGGAAUUCCCAGUGUAGCGGUGAAAUGCGUAGAUAUUGGGAGGAACACCAGUGGCGAAGGCGGCUCACUGGACCGGAACUGACGCUGAGGCGCGAAAGCGUGGGGAGCAAACAGGAUUAGAAACCUGGUAGUCC
This 272-nucleotide ribosomal RNA is filed under the name uncultured prokaryote. Its description in RNAcentral is "partial 16S ribosomal RNA". It matches the Rfam family "Bacterial small subunit ribosomal RNA", at positions 524 to 796 of the family's 1533-position model. The record is from RNAcentral.